RNAcentral lists this RNase P RNA (293 nucleotides) under Phaeodactylibacter sp. RNAcentral describes it as "partial RNase P RNA component class A". It matches the Rfam family "Bacterial RNase P class A", at positions 153 to 367 of the family's 367-position model. Rfam says of the family: Ribonuclease P (RNase P) is a ubiquitous endoribonuclease, found in archaea, bacteria and eukarya as well as chloroplasts and mitochondria. Its best characterised activity is the generation of mature 5'-ends of tRNAs by cleaving the 5'-leader elements of precursor-tRNAs. Lineage: Bacteria; Pseudomonadati; Bacteroidota; Saprospiria; Saprospirales; Haliscomenobacteraceae. The record is from RNAcentral.
GGUGAAAACGUGCGGUAAGAGCGCACGCUCCGCCGUAGCAAUACGGAGGAGGGGUAAACCUCGUGGGUUGAAAUGCCAUGUACACCCCGAUUCUGCCACCAGGUAGCGCCUCCGGGCCUGCAGGGUAGCGGUACUGGGUUGCUCGCUCAGUUCUUCCUUCGGGACGUAUUCGGGGGGGGUAGGCAGAUAGAGCCCGCUGGUGACAGCGGGCCUAGAUAAAUGAUAGAGGCCGGGAGGCGGGCUGCUUGCCUGCUGUCCCGGAACAGAAUCCGGCUUACAGGCCUGCAGCAGAA